UGGGGAAUUUUGCGCAAUGGGCGAAAGCCUGACGCAGCAACGCCGCGUGGAGGAUGAAGGUGCUCUGCAUUGUAAACUCCUGUCGGCCGGGAAGAAUCGGCGGGGUGCUAAUCAGCCCCGUCUUGACUGUACCGGCAAAGGAAGCCCCGGCUAACUCCGUGCC
RNAcentral lists this ribosomal RNA (163 nucleotides) under uncultured bacterium. Its description in RNAcentral is "partial 16S ribosomal RNA". It matches the Rfam family "Bacterial small subunit ribosomal RNA", at positions 355 to 509 of the family's 1533-position model. The record is from RNAcentral.